CAAGCCGAGCACCUUUCCUGUGUUUGAACUCACAGCAGGAGCUGAGCCGAUCUACUUGCAGGCCAUUCAGGAAGAGCGUAAGACUGAAGGGAAAUCCCUGGUGGCGUCUUGACACAAACUGGAACACUUCUACAAGUAAGGCUUCCCUUUGUAGACACACAGGUUCUCUCCUCCACAGUGUUGCUGGAAGACCUUCACUUCAUCUCUGAGGUCCAUCAGAUCAUGGGACAGGCAUGAUGGACUUGUGAUGUAAACACAGACUGAUGGAAUGAUUCAGUGAUUCUCAAGGCAUCCAGUGCCAAGGAUUUCAGCUUGAGGUGAACACUACAUCUGUGUAAAGUGUAGUCUUGGAAAUGCUCGACUGUUUCUCUGCCUGGCUUUUUCCGAUACAGAUUUGAUUUCCCUUAGCGUUUGUAAAGAAGACAACACAACCUGUACACCAAUCCACAGGCCAAGUAGAUACCAUUACCAGUGUCUGGUUUCUAUUUGAAUUGAGUGUGGAUGGAUGGCACACUUAACCCAUGGCCCCCUCUGAAUUUAUUUCUCUCUCUAAAAUUGUUCAGAAAUAAAACAUAUUGCCUGUGGAAGACAGUCUAAACAUAUGGAUUCAUUCGAAUUACACUUUGGCUAAAUAUAAUUCAUUUUUGUCUUAAUUAGCAAUUAAGACAUAGAAUUAAU
Long non-coding RNA from Carassius carassius (crucian carp), 678 nucleotides. RefSeq lists it as uncharacterized. NCBI's taxonomy places the organism in Eukaryota, Metazoa, Chordata, Actinopteri, Cypriniformes, Cyprinidae. The record is from RefSeq and is a predicted model, not a curated record. The transcript is spliced from 3 exons.